GCUUUGGGGUAAUAGGGGACAGUGUCACCUGAGGUCUGUGGUCGAGUCGCUUCCAAAAGUCCUUGUACAGUGCCUCAAAUCUGGCAUUAAAAUAAUACAGCCACUCCUGGAUCCCUCGGCUUGCUCGUGGCUGUAGGUUUUCCUGGCCGGUGGCCAUCUUAGGUGUGCCUCGUGGGCCUCACUUUGUGAAAUAAGUGAGCCUGGGCUGUCUCUAAUUGAUUUGUUUUUGGGUGAGGUUUUUUAAAUAAACAAAUUUCAGGCGUUAGCAUUAUAAUUGAAUCUGUAAUUGUGUAACUUAUUUUAUGAAUCGAAUUCCAAUAUUAUUGUAUUAAAGGGCUCAUGCGUCAAAGGUAAAUUUUGAAAUUUAAAACUGUAAUUUAGUG
Molecule: non-coding RNA, 383 nt
Organism: Pelobates cultripes (western spadefoot toad)
Lineage: Eukaryota; Metazoa; Chordata; Amphibia; Anura; Pelobatidae
Source: the annotation of a GenBank genome assembly